RNAcentral lists this unclassified non-coding RNA (279 nucleotides) under plant metagenome. RNAcentral describes it as "partial contains small subunit ribosomal RNA, internal transcribed spacer 1, and 5.8S ribosomal RNA". The record is from RNAcentral.
UCUCCGUAGGUGAACCUGCGGAGGGAUCAUUACAGAGUUCUCGCCCUCGCGGGUCUAUCUCUCACCCACUGUGAUCGUUACUGUCGUUUCUUUGGCCGGCCGCCCGUUCCCCGGCCGUCUGCGUCUAAUAGUCGGCGCGCGCCCGCCAGAUUCCUUCGAACCCUUACUUUUAGUGUCGUCUUAGUUCUAUAUAAUAGUUAAAACUUUUAACAAUGGAUCUCUUGGUUCUGGUAUCGCUUAAGAAAGCAGCAGAACUGGAUAGCACACCGCUGAACUCCC